This 253-nucleotide ribosomal RNA is filed under the name uncultured bacterium. RNAcentral describes it as "partial 16S ribosomal RNA". It matches the Rfam family "Bacterial small subunit ribosomal RNA", at positions 524 to 776 of the family's 1533-position model. The record is from RNAcentral.
UACGUAGGGUGCAAGCGUCGUCCGGAAUUAUUGGGCGUAAAGGGCUCGUAGGCGGUCCAUCGCGUCGGGAGUGAAAAGCUGGGGCUUAACCCCAGUCCUGCUUCCGAUACGGGUGGACUAGAGGUAGGUAGGGGAGAACGGAAUUCCUGGUGUAGCGGUGAAAUGCGCAGAUAUCAGGAGGAACACCGGUGGCGAAGGCGGUUCUCUGGGCCUUACCUGACGCUGAGGAGCGAAAGCAUGGGGAGCAAACAGG